GACGAACGCUGGCGGCGUGCCUAAUACAUGCAAGUAGAACGCUGAAGGAGGAGCUUGCUUCUCCGGAUGAGUUGCGAACGGGUGAGUAACGCGUAGGUAACCUGCCUGGUAGCGGGGGAUAACUAUUGGAAACGAUAGCUAAUACCGCAUAACAGUAGAUGUUGCAUGACAUUUGCUUAAAAGGUGCAAUUGCAUCACUACCAGAUGGACCUGCGUUGUAUUAGCUAGUUGGUGAGGUAACGGCUCACCAAGGCGACGAUACAUAGCCGACCUGAGAGGGUGAUCGGCCACACUGGGACUGAGACACGGCCCAGACUCCUACGGGAGGCAGCAGUAGGGAAUCUUCGGCAAUGGACGGAAGUCUGACCGAGCAACGCCGCGUGAGUGAAGAAGGUUUUCGGAUCGUAAAGCUCUGUUGUAAGAGAAGAACGAGUGUGAGAGUGGAAAGUUCACACUGCGACGGUAUCUUACCAGAAAGGGACGGCUAACUACGUG
This 495-nucleotide ribosomal RNA is filed under the name uncultured bacterium. RNAcentral's name for it is "partial 16S ribosomal RNA". It matches the Rfam family "Bacterial small subunit ribosomal RNA", at positions 28 to 507 of the family's 1533-position model. The record is from RNAcentral.